CCUGGAAGCCCGGAACAACCUGCCGAAAGGUAGGCUAAUACCGGAUAAGCCCACAGGAUCUUCGGAUCUGGUGGGAAAAGGUGGCCUCUGUUUACAUGCUAUCUCUUCCAGAUGAGCCCGCGGCCCAUCAGCUAGUUGGCGGGGUAAUGGCCCACCAAGGCAACGACGGGUAGCUGGUCUGAGAGGACGAUCAGCCACACUGGAACUGAGACACGGUCCAG
RNAcentral lists this ribosomal RNA (221 nucleotides) under uncultured bacterium. RNAcentral's name for it is "partial 16S ribosomal RNA". It matches the Rfam family "Bacterial small subunit ribosomal RNA", at positions 129 to 334 of the family's 1533-position model. The record is from RNAcentral.